UCCAGAGGUCCCGAGCGUUGUUCGGAUUCACUGGGCGUAAAGGGUGCGUAGGUGGUGAGGCAAGUCGGAUGUGAAAUCUCCGGGCUCAACCCGGAAAUGGCAUUGGAAACUACCUUGCUGGAGGAUUUGAGGGGGGAUUGGAAUACUUGGUGUAGCAGUGAAAUGCGUAGAUAUCAAGUGGAACACCGGUGGCGAAGGCGGGAUCCUGGGCCAGUACUGACGCUGAGGAGCGAAAGCGUGGGGAGCAAACAGG
This 253-nucleotide ribosomal RNA is filed under the name uncultured bacterium. Its description in RNAcentral is "partial 16S ribosomal RNA". It matches the Rfam family "Bacterial small subunit ribosomal RNA", at positions 524 to 776 of the family's 1533-position model. The record is from RNAcentral.